Molecule: long non-coding RNA, 275 nt
Filed under: Lathyrus oleraceus (garden pea)
Lineage: Eukaryota; Viridiplantae; Streptophyta; Magnoliopsida; Fabales; Fabaceae
Description: Pisum sativum (pea) long non-coding RNA (PSAT_LNC016520)
Source: RNAcentral
UGGAGUUAGAGAUAUACUUAUCUAAAUAAAUCAGGACCAAAUCUCCAGACUCUCUGGGGAAAUUGGUGAUGCUUAACCUUCUUCUGCGCUCGCGGAGGAGACAACCUGAAAGAUAAUGAAGAGGACAUAAAUAUGCUAAGAAUAAUGAACAAAUGCCUUCCCCUUUUGGAGAUCAUACUAUCCUUGGGAGAGCACCGAAGACGUCCCAAUCAUCCUUUUCAGACUUUAUGAAUGUUCACUUUGUUUAAAAAUAGUUUAUAAAAACUUUAUUUAUU